Molecule: long non-coding RNA, 1636 nt
Organism: Triticum dicoccoides
Lineage: Eukaryota; Viridiplantae; Streptophyta; Magnoliopsida; Poales; Poaceae
Exons: 5
Source: RefSeq, a predicted model, not a curated record
CGCCGCCCCCGACCUGCCGGCAAAUUUGCUUGCUCCGCCGCCUCUCCCACCCCGGCAUCCCAUCCCUUGGCCCGACGUCUAGUCCUGCGUGCUGCCCUAUUAUACACUGCCGAGGAGUUGCUGCCCCAUCUGCAGCCGAGGAGACGCCGCCCCAUCUACAUACGAGGAGCCGCCGCCUAGUUCACUGCCUAGGAGUCGGCGCAUAGUCCGCUGGCAAGGAGGCAAUUGAGUUCUGGAGUCGCCCUGCUAUUCGUAUUCCUCCACCAGCGACCCCUGUCCAGAUCGGCACCCCUUGUCUUGCCCCGACUCCAGUCUCCAGGCCACUAUAGGUAAACCGAGUUUUUUCCUUUGCAUCUACUCCUAUAUAAGUUCUAGGCUUUGCUCUUGUUCUGUCUUCUUUAAUCUUGUCUACUCUCGCAUCUUGUCUUUUCAUUUAUCCAGUGGUGGGCAUGCUCAUGUAAGAAGGUUUAUUAGUAACUUCUGCACAUAUUAACAUUCAGAGACCAGCUUUAACUACUAGAGGGUGCAGAUUUAGAAAAGAAAAUGUAACAGAGUUGUGGCACACCUUUUGGUUCAACAUUGCUGUUUCUGGAUGUUCAAGUGGAGAGUUCCCUACACUUCAGAGAUCUAAUUCACCAGAUUCUGCAUUUUGACACAGAACCUUCAGUUAAAUAACACCGAAGAUUCAGAUUUCUUGUAUGUUGGGAGAAAAGAUGGAAGGAACAAGAGUUGGAAGUGAGCUCCCUGUAUAUGAACAAUUGAGGCUAGCAAGUAUUGCAGAAAACAAAAAUAUGUUGAGAGCUCUUGUUGAAAUAAACAAGAAAUAUUUAGCAUUGGGAGAAAACAUGAGGCCCUCUGGGGAAGUAGGUGGCUUGUCCCAGCCAGCCAAGAAGAAAGUUAUUCGGAGUUCUCAUUGCUAUAUGUAGCUGGCAUCAAGAGUUACGCUCGUAGCAGGCAUGAAUUGAAACAACCUGAAGAAGCAGCUGAACUCCACACAGAAUUGAAGGAAAAACCUACACAAGGAGAUUUUCACGCACAUGUUUUUGGAGAGAAGGAACCAAGAGGAGGUGUGCGAAAGUUAUGUCUGGGACCAACUCCUCAAAAUGUGGGUACACAAGGAACAAAGGCUAAACCGCCAACAAAGCUUGAAUUAGAAUUCAAAUUUCGUCGACAAGAUGAACAAGUUUGUACUCUACUAGAGCGCAUGGAACAAAUGCAAUGAAAAAUUGGAGAGAUGCAUCAAGUUCUUUUUUCUCUAGGAAUCCAAAAUGUGGAAACACCAUUGCCUAAUAGUUCUGUCUCUCAGCCCGUGCUCUCACGGAUUGUAGCACAAGAUGGCAAAUGGAACUUCUAAUUCAGACGACUUUUGCUAAGUUAUAUCAGGGACAAAUGAUAGAAAGUACCAAGCCCGCUAGUUGAUUGAAGAUGUCCUCGCGAUUGCUUUUGCUGAAAACAUGGAUGACACAUUUUGUUCAUACAGAAGUUGAUUUGGCUUGGAGAUUGAAGAGUUGGUCUUCGAUAAUAUUCCGUAGUCAGUCCAGUGAUCAAGCACUUGGUCUCUUAGGAAUUUUAGCCAUUAUGUUUGUAACAUGCCUAUCUUGUAUAUCUGACUUGUGUAUUUCCUUCAUGGUUGUAG